Molecule: long non-coding RNA, 2931 nt
Organism: Cydia splendana
Lineage: Eukaryota; Metazoa; Arthropoda; Insecta; Lepidoptera; Tortricidae
Exons: 2
Source: RefSeq, a predicted model, not a curated record
AUUCCCAGCUACUUGGCUACGUAAGAGUUCGGCCUAGCCUUUAAGGCCCAACUCGAAGCCAAGCCUUCUGCAUCAGUAAAGACUCGACGACUUGAGCCUUAAGGCUUAAAGUUUCGGUACGAUGUAUUUUAUUAUUAACUGCAAUGUUAGUGGCCAUGUAAGGAGUUUUGACGGUAUUUGGAAUCUCGAAAUUUAGCACACUAUUUUUGAAUCGUUUUUUUCGAACUAUGUCGUAAGUGUUAUUAUUAUUAGUGCUAUACGGUGACUAUUUAGGGUAGUUUAGACUAGGGGUAGCUUCACAUGCUUAGGGUGUUAUAGUUCGUAGUUUCCUAAUAGAGCCCGACGCUAAUCCUAUUGUCUAUUGUUAAGUAAAACCGAUCGUGCCACGUGCCACAACCACCUGCAUAAAAAAUCGUUUCACUUUACCCAGGUAAUUGAAUUACAACUCCUAUGGAAAUUGCAAUAAGAUUCAAAAUGAACUAAUCUUGUUACAAUGUGUGUGGUCCGUUCAACUCGCCGGCACCCAGAACUUCGGUUACUGAGUGCCGGCGAGUCGAACGCUACAGAACCAGUCUAAAAUGUGUCAUCGAGAUGCGUAAUAAGGGCGCGUUAUCGGAGAGCUCACCUACACUGGUUUCUUGAGCGUUAGCCUAGCUCGCGCUCAGGUGCCAAAUAUAAUAAUUAAGACCCUUUUUUGCAGGUAAGUAGCACGUGCGGUUUUACUUAACAGACAAUAGGAUUAGCGUCGGGCUCUAUUAGGAAACUACGAACUAUAAUAGACUUGACAGGCAACGGAAUACACAUUAAUAAAUAGUUUUACAAGUAAUUAUGAAAUUGACUGUAUCUGGGACGAGUACCUAUAUUAUUAUAAUGAAGACUGCUAAUCUGCCGAACACUGCCAAGUACUGUAAAUAUUCUUGUUUUACUGUAAUCCAUUUACCACUAAAUGUAUGAAGCUGUAAAGCGCCAACUACUCACUCUCAACAGCACUAAAGUCGAGAUUCUGCAUUCAAGGUAUAAGAUAAAAACACCUCGCUGAAGUAACUUUGUAUAAACUCGCAUCGCUCAGGCGUUGCGUCAUAUGCGUUACGCAACUUCAUAAGAAAAUUAGCAGUCGUUAUUAUAUCUCAUCUCUAGUACAGUUCACGGAAUUGCUGUCUAUAUAACUCCACUGUUAGAAAACGAUUUUUAACACCACGUAUUAUGGUGGCACCUAUAUAUCAAAACAUAUACUUGAUUAAUAAACGGUAUAAUUAUCGGAACAUAGUAAUCACAAGAAAUAAUAUUCCAAAUAUUUUAAUGCGUGUAGAAGCCUGACAUUGUGAUAAUAGAUCGAUCGCAACGUCGGGCCGUGCGCGUUGACAUCACCAUCCCCCAUGAUGAGAAUCUCGUGAAGGCCGAGAAGGACAAGUCCAGUAAGUACCUAGACUUGGCUCACGAGAUAAUCGCCAUGUGGGAUGUUGAUUCGACGAUCAUUGUCCCGAUAGUCGUUUCAGUGAACGGUCUAAUAGCGAAGAGUCUCGACCAACAUCUUGAGAGACUCUCGCUAGGUGGUUGGAUCAAGGGUCAGAUGCAGAAGGCGGUGAUCUUGGACACGGCGCGGAUAGUCCGCCGGUUCCUCUCUCUGCAGCCCUGACCACCGGUAGUUUGGGCCUUGCCCCGCUGCUGGCGGCACCCUAGGUUAGGUUUUUUAUAAUGUGUUUAUAUGUAUUUUUUAUCGUUUUGUAAGUGUUUUUAUAUUUUACUUUUAUAUUCAUAUUAUAAAUAACCUAACUUAAGACGAAAAAUAAAUAAAGAGAAAGUAUUAAUACUAUUAAUUAAAGUAUUUAUUUGGGUUUUUUGUGAAUCGGGUUGUUAGUGAGUCGUUAAACAGGAAAUAAAAUAAUGUUUUUUUGCUAAAAUAAUGAUACUUGCAAUAAUAGUCUCAGAGUCGAAAGCAAUAAAAGGAAGUUGUGUCUAGGAACAUUUUCUUAAUAUCUGCCGGCAAAAGAAUAUCUCUAAAAUAUUGUUUCAGAAAUUUAAUUUCUUUGUACCUACCGGCUUAACCUCGUGAGUAUUUAAUGUACAUAUUCGUAGCAAUCUAAUUUGAACCAUUCAUGAAACAAAUAAAGUACCUAGUAUUUCUUUUGUUUCAUUGCGCUUUAAAACAAACGAAAUUCGUUCCAAUUUACUUAUAGAACAAGGUUCAAAUUAAAAAUUGGAAAACUUUCUAUGGUGGGUCUUACGAGGAGGUAGUAGAUGAAGAAAUGUAAUCUAUACAUAUUCACGAACUCAACUGUACAGUGUACAUCCUAUACCUAUUUAAAAUUUCUUUAGAUUAUACUUAGUUUGCGAGCAAAUUAAAUGUCUAGGACACACGGACGGACAAUCAGACGGAAAUACGUACCUAUUUAGGGAUUCUUAAAUGCUAAUAGGCUGUGAGCAUAUCGGAAAGGCGUUCGGCUCAACUAUUGAUAUCAAGUUGGAUGUAAAAAGGGGGUUUAUUUUAAUGGCUUUUGCGUCGUGGGGAAGUGUGAACCGUGUUUUUUUUUAAUGUUUAAAUGCACUGCUCAAAAAUGCAACCAACAAGUCUUUACAUAUUUUAUUUGCUAGGAUUGCAUUGAGUAUGAAUGACGCAUACUUGCAUUUAUUUGCCUACGGCGAAGUAUGUAGGCGCCAUUAUGUUGAUGGUUUAUAAUAUAGAAUGCCCAAAUAUUGCCAGUAUUUUUUUAAUGGCAAAUAGAGGUAAAAAAAUCAUUAAAAUUAAUAAAAUAUUAAUAUCUGAUAAGUACUUUAUUAGGUUUCUAAAAUAUCCGUUUUAAGCCAAUAUGAAAUGUUUCCUUUGUUUAGGAUGUUAUUUUAUUAAGGAAUUGCUCUGGUGUACAUAGGUAUUAUAUUAUGACUAAGAUAAUGUGUGCAGUACAUGUUUUUACUGUAAUAAAUUGUUUGAAA